This 253-nucleotide ribosomal RNA is filed under the name uncultured bacterium. RNAcentral's name for it is "partial 16S ribosomal RNA". It matches the Rfam family "Bacterial small subunit ribosomal RNA", at positions 524 to 776 of the family's 1533-position model. The record is from RNAcentral.
UACGGAGGGUGCGAGCGUUGUCCGGAAUCACUGGGCGUAAAGGGCGCGUAGGCGGCUUUUUAAGCGUGCGGUGAAAGCCCGGGGCUCAACCCCGGGUCGGCCGUGCGAACUGGAAAGCUCGAGCCCACUAGAGGCAGGCGGAAUUCCGGGUGUAGCGGUGGAAUGCGUAGAGAUCCGGAAGAACACCGGUGGCGAAGGCGGCCUGCUGGGGUGGAGCUGACGCUGAGGCGCGAAAGCGUGGGGAGCGAACAGG